AUUGAACGCUGGCGGCAUGCUUUACACAUGCAAGUCGAACGGCAGCGCGGGCUUCGGCCUGGCGGCGAGUGGCGAACGAGUGAGUAAUACAUCGGAACGUGCCCAGUAGUGGGGGAUAGCUCGGCGAAAGCCGGAUUAAUACCGCAUACGACCUGAGGGUGAAAGCGGGGGAUCUUCGGACCUCGCGCUAUUGGAGCGGCCGAUGGCAGAUUAGCUAGUUGGUGGGGUAAAGGCCUACCAAGGCGACGAUCUGUAGCUGGUCUGAGAGGACGACCAGCCACACUGGGACUGAGACACGGCCCAGACUCCUACGGGAGGCAGCAGUGGGGAAUUUUGGACAAUGGGCGAAAGCCUGAUCCAGCAAUGCCGCGUGUGUGAUGAAGGCCUUCGGGUUGUAAAGCACUUUUGGCGGGAACGAAAAGGACUGUGCCAAUACCACGGUUCGAUGACGGUACCCGCAGAAUAAGCACCGGCUAACUACGUG
Molecule: ribosomal RNA, 484 nt
Filed under: uncultured bacterium
Lineage: Bacteria
Description: partial 16S ribosomal RNA
Rfam family: Bacterial small subunit ribosomal RNA
Source: RNAcentral